AGUUUACUUCAGAAGCACAUUACUAAAAUAGGAAUGAUGCAGACAAGAUUAGCGUGUCUUCUGUGCAAGAAUGACAUGUAAUUUGUGACACAUUUCUUCAUUUU
This is a small nuclear RNA of Diceros bicornis minor, 104 nucleotides long. The record is from RefSeq and is a predicted model, not a curated record. NCBI's taxonomy places the organism in Eukaryota, Metazoa, Chordata, Mammalia, Perissodactyla, Rhinocerotidae.